GCUGUGAGGCAUGCUGGAGGUAUCAGAAGUGCGAAUGCUGACAUAAGUAACGAUAAAGCGGGUGAAAAGCCCGCUCGCCGGAAGACCAAGGGUUCCUGUCCAACGUUAAUCGGGGCAGGGUGAGUCGACCCCUAAGGCGAGGCCGAAAGGCGUAGUCGAUGGGAAACAGGUUAAUAUUCCUGUACUUGGUGUUACUGCGAAGGGGGGACGGAGAAGGCUAUGUUAGCCGGGCGACGGUUGUCCCGGUUUAAGCAUGUAGGCUGGUUAUCCAGGCAAAUCCGGAUAAUCAAGGCUGAGGUGUGAUGACGAGGCACUACGGUGCUGAAGUAACAAAUGCCCUGCUUCCAGGAAAAG
This 354-nucleotide ribosomal RNA is filed under the name Klebsiella pneumoniae. Its description in RNAcentral is "partial 23S ribosomal RNA". It matches the Rfam family "Bacterial large subunit ribosomal RNA", at positions 1260 to 1617 of the family's 2925-position model. Lineage: Bacteria; Pseudomonadati; Pseudomonadota; Gammaproteobacteria; Enterobacterales; Enterobacteriaceae. The record is from RNAcentral.